Molecule: ribosomal RNA, 497 nt
Filed under: uncultured bacterium
Lineage: Bacteria
Description: partial 16S ribosomal RNA
Rfam family: Bacterial small subunit ribosomal RNA
Source: RNAcentral
GACGAACGCUGGCGGCGUGCCUAAUACAUGCAAGUUGAGCGAUGAAGAUUGGUGCUUGCACCAAUUUGAAGAGCAGCGAACGGGUGAGUAACGCGUGGGGAAUCUGCCUUUGAGCGGGGGACAACAUUUGGAAACGAAUGCUAAUACCGCAUAACAACUUUAAACAUAAGUUUUAAGUUUGAAAGAUGCAAUUGCAUCACUCAAAGAUGAUCCCGCGUUGUAUUAGCUAGUUGGUGAGGUAAAGGCUCACCAAGGCGAUGAUACAUAGCCGACCUGAGAGGGUGAUCGGCCACAUUGGGACUGAGACACGGCCCAAACUCCUACGGGAGGCAGCGGUAGGGAAUCUUCGGCAAUGGACGAAAGUCUGACCGAGCAACGCCGCGUGAGUGAAGAAGGUUUUCGGAUCGUAAAACUCUGUUGGUAGAGAAGAACGUUGGUGAGAGUGGAAAGCUCAUCAAGUGACGGUAACUACCCAGAAAGGGACGGCUAACUACGUG